This is a long non-coding RNA of Canis lupus familiaris (dog), 1845 nucleotides long. RefSeq lists it as uncharacterized. The transcript is spliced from 3 exons. The record is from RefSeq and is a predicted model, not a curated record. NCBI's taxonomy places the organism in Eukaryota, Metazoa, Chordata, Mammalia, Carnivora, Canidae.
CGUCACAGGGAGGCCACGCCCCCGGGGGCGGAGCCCGUCGGGCGCAGAGUCCCGCCCCUGCUCCGGCCCUUGUCAGUCAAGGGCUCGGCUCCACCGCCUUUCCGUUUCCCAGGCAACGGCUUUGCGGCCGCUGGCGGGGAAACCAUUCUUCCCUGGAGGAGCUACGAACUUACGUCUCAGAUCCGCUUUCCGGGUGACCUCGGUCCCGGACCGUUAAAUCCGCCAAGUCGCCUCCCUCCCUCCGCUCCGAAGGCCGCGAGCGCCUCAGCGCCCGCCCUUGGACUUCCUGCCCGGAAAUCCGGGCGGUUUUCGAGGAAUCGCGCGAGGCCCCUCCGAGGUCGCCAGCACGGAUUUCUCUGCGGCUUAGAGGCUAUCGGCGCAGCCUCUUGCACUUACUUGCAUCCCACAGUUCAGGAAACGUUUACCGAACUCGGCUAAGAGUGGCUCCGUGCCCGGCGCUGGGUAGAAAUGGCCUGUUGGGUGCACUGAGUCCCUUCCCAUCUGCAGGGACACAGCCUGUGCCCAGCAGUCAUCAAGGCCUCUGUCUCCAUUCCCUCUACAUCAGUGUCCCUGCCUGUUACAGCGAUCUCUGCCCUGAUGCUGAUGCCGAGGCAUUCUUUUGCUAGGAAUUGUGGAGGAAUCUUGACCUCGUUGCAUCAUUCCCUCCAGGGGAGGUUCUGGGCAGCUCCCUCCUCUUUCUAAAUAUCCACACCUUUUUCCUCCCAACUCAGGCUGCCAGAGGGACAAGGCAGGCCCCAGCCUUUCGUCCCAGCCCCCUCCAACUUUCUCCUUCCACCCUCCAAUCUUAGACCGGCAAGGUUUGCACCUGACCAGGAAAACAGGGGAGGAAUGCUUCCUCCCCUCCCCUCACACCUCCGAUAGGAGAGUAACCAGCUCCUGCUAACAAGCAACAAACAGUUCCUUCAAGAAAGCAGCAGAGAAUGAUUGUGACUAGCUUCAGUGAACAGAGAUGUAUUGGGAGGACUCUGCAAUAGCUCUCACAACCAGAGAUGGGGCUAGCUAGCCUGGCCUUGGAAAGAGCGGGAAGCUGGACAUCUCUGGGGACCUCAGCAACUGGAGUUUAUAGACACUGCCAUUAAGGUCUUCUGCUGAGCCUGGCUCUUCCUGCUGGACCUGCUUGUCACUGCUAGUGAUUUUCUUUCCAGGCCCCAUUUCUGCAAGCUGCCUUCUGACACCUAAACCCCCAGGCUGUCAGACUCAUCUGCUUACAUCUGACCCCUGAGUCGUGGACGAGAUUCAAGUUCUUUUCUUGAACUUUGGCUAAAUCAGGUGACUUCCAUUCAAUUGCCCCAAACUUUCCAAGACCACUAAAGAGGCUUGCUGUGUAAAGGAAACAGGCAGACUCCCUAAAUCUGUGGUUUCCAAACUGUGUACUCAGAUAUCCCAGACUACCACAGUGAAUUUGCAAGACUGCUACAGGAUAUUUUCAGUUUUUGAGAGGAACCCAACAAUACUCUGCAUCUGCUGGACAUUGCACGAACUACUAACUCAGGUUCAGUUUCAAAAUUAGAUUCUGCUGCAUUAUUUUCAAUGUCUUCGCAAAAGUGCAUUUUUUAUUAUUGCUGUACCAAAAAAAAUAGCAAGAACUACACAAAAGUCAAUGUGGCACAGAAAAUGAGGGUGGCAGUAUCCAAGCUGAUUCUGAGUUUUUAGUAGAAGUUAUGCAGAUCUGAACAGGUGCAACAUCCCAUUAAUAAGUAAUGAAGGUUAAGAACUACAAAAAAAUGGGGGUGCUUGGCUGGCUCACUGGGUAGCCAUGCAACUCUUGAUCGUGGGGUGGUGAGUUCCAGCCCCACAUUGCAUGUGGAGCCUACUUAAAAGUAA